This 463-nucleotide ribosomal RNA is filed under the name Vreelandella stevensii. RNAcentral describes it as "partial 16S ribosomal RNA". It matches the Rfam family "Bacterial small subunit ribosomal RNA", at positions 339 to 795 of the family's 1533-position model. Lineage: Bacteria; Pseudomonadati; Pseudomonadota; Gammaproteobacteria; Oceanospirillales; Halomonadaceae. The record is from RNAcentral.
CUACGGGAGGCUGCAGUGGGGAAUAUUGGACAAUGGGCGAAAGCCUGAUCCAGCCAUGCCGCGUGUGUGAAGAAGGCCUUCGGGUUGUAAAGCACUUUCAGUGGGGAAGAAAGCCUUGGGGCUAAUACCCUCGAGGAAGGACAUCACCCACAGAAGAAGCACCGGCUAACUCCGUGCCAGCAGCCGCGGUAAUACGGAGGGUGCGAGCGUUAAUCGGAAUUACUGGGCGUAAAGCGCGCGUAGGCGGUCUGAUAAGCCGGUUGUGAAAGCCCCGGGCUCAACCUGGGAACGGCAUCCGGAACUGUCAGGCUAGAGUGCAGGAGAGGAAGGUAGAAUUCCCGGUGUAGCGGUGAAAUGCGUAGAGAUCGGGAGGAAUACCAGUGGCGAAGGCGGCCUUCUGGACUGACACUGACGCUGAGGUGCGAAAGCGUGGGUAGCAAACAGGAUUAGAUACCCCGUAGUC